RNAcentral lists this long non-coding RNA (547 nucleotides) under Sorghum bicolor (sorghum). Its description in RNAcentral is "long non-coding RNA (SBIC_LNC010106)". Lineage: Eukaryota; Viridiplantae; Streptophyta; Magnoliopsida; Poales; Poaceae. The record is from RNAcentral.
UCGUGGAGGAGAUGAGGUUGCAGUCGCAUCCUCCAAUGCAUCUUCACCACCAACAACACUAUGAUGCGCUGGGGAAUGAAUACUUGGACUGAAGUCCCUGCUAGGAAAACAAAGAGUGUUGUGAGCGAAUAAAUUGUUAGCGAAUAAAUUGUUUUUGAAUAGGAUGUUAGCGAAUAAAUUAAGUUGUUUUUGAAUCCACGCACCUAUGCUGAGGAUCUUGAUCAUCAGUAAGACAAGGUGGCGGCGGUGAGACUCCAGGAAUGAUGAUGAAGCGCUUACGCCAACAAAUAAAUGUCUUCUCCGCCUCACCUAGAGUCUUCUCCCCAUCUCCCCCUUCAAUGUCGAGAGGCACGCUGGCACAACCUUUCUCCACCCUAUCCACCAAGACACGAGCAUAUCCUUCUGGUACCGGUUGACCAUGGUUUUUUGGUGUUCUCGUCCGGUCGAUAGCAUUUACAACACCGAUCGCCACCUUCUUCGUCUCGGUUUCUUCUCGAAUUUGUAGCUCACACGAAUUAACUGGUUGUGUGAGGGCAUCCACGGGCCG